GGAGGAUUGGCCGAGUGGUCUAAGGCGGCAGACUUAAGAUCUGCUGGAUUAGCAUAUCCGCGCGAGUUCGAACCUCGCAUCCUUCA
Molecule: non-coding RNA, 86 nt
Organism: Brettanomyces bruxellensis
Lineage: Eukaryota; Fungi; Ascomycota; Pichiomycetes; Pichiales; Pichiaceae
Source: the annotation of a RefSeq genome assembly